Molecule: long non-coding RNA, 1075 nt
Filed under: Drosophila guanche
Lineage: Eukaryota; Metazoa; Arthropoda; Insecta; Diptera; Drosophilidae
Source: RNAcentral
UAGAAGACUUAAUUAAUGUGCGUGUAGAAAAUAUACAUAAAAAAAAACGUGGUGAAAAUUUUGCAAAACCAUAAAAGGGAACAUAAACCAAAUAAAAACAAUUUUAAAAGUGUUGUGGCUGCAAAGACAAAAACUUAAAAACCAACCCCUGGAUAAGGUACGCAAAGAAAAAAAUGAAAAAGUGACCUUAUUACAUAAUUCCAUGUAUGUACUGUACAUAGGUUAUGAUCCACGUGUGGCAGGAAAUUGCUGACCUGGCCUGACCCUCGGUCUCGGAGGGGGUCCGCUCCAGUACCACGAUCAUCAGUCCUUCUUUAUGGUGCCACCGGACCUUGCCUGCAGGCCGAGAAAUGGAUGGACUUGGCGAUCGGGACCGAGUUGUUUAUAUAUCUUGUAUAUAUCUCACGCGCAACUAAGCCGCUCAACAACAACGAUAAUAUAAAACCAUCUAAUAUAUUAUAUCACCGCGCCUUGUGUAAAGAAAAUGUGGGUGCUUGCACCCACUCGGAAUAUGAACUCCGAUACUGGCAUCCUCGGAUCGCCGUCAAAGCUCAGUCCCCAUCUCCUUAUUUGCACCGGCUCCUGCCUGGCCUCUCCGUAACUGGGACGACUCCUAUUUACAUUUGCCUGAGCUCCAGGGCCCCUUGCGUUGAACAGUUUGUCGGUUGUGCCUGUUGGUUCGCGGGUAUUUCCUGCGGACCUCCUCCAAGACUGGUGUAGUGUGAUCCUCUAUUUCCUUUAUCCGCGUCGCUGAGUGUCUGCUCCGCUUUCAGCGAGCCGAAACUGUUGGCCAAACGAUGCUCUAUACGUCUCCUGAGCCUGAGCUAUCGCCACAUUUACGGCCGAUAUCACUUCGCUGGGUAUCUCGCGGUCUAUGUAACUUGGUGGGUGGCCUCCUACAGCCCCCUCUUCCGGAUCUUCCAGUCCCAUCACCGCCCUUUCUGGUCUUGUGCCGGUUUUCCCGUCCUGGGACCUAGUAGUCGGCAUCCUGUAUGUCUGGAACCUUCUCUGAACCUCCGGGCUUCGCCUCGUUUUCCCCGACCCGUUGAAUUCCACCGGGUCACUCAUACACCAA